This 907-nucleotide long non-coding RNA is filed under the name Homo sapiens (human). RNAcentral's name for it is "HSALNT0074868". The record is from RNAcentral. Lineage: Eukaryota; Metazoa; Chordata; Mammalia; Primates; Hominidae.
AUCUGAUCCUAAUUCUGGGUAGUUAGUGUCAGAAUUGUAGGACACAUAGUUGAUGUCAGAGAGUUAGAGAAGUGUUGUUGGAAAAGAUACCAUUUAUUUGGUGUCAGGAGGGAAAAAAGCUCUCAGGCCCCUGCCAAACUUUAACACUGUUACUUCUAAUUGCACCUUACUCGCAUCACAUUGCAAUUCUAUUAGUCUGUUACUAGAACAUGACCUGCACUCUUGAUUUUCACGUGACACCCCCUAUUCUAUCACAAACACAACUAAUUACUUCAUGGACAACAUUACUUGUGAUGAAAAGCCUUCCCAGAUUCUUAUAAGAAUUUAUCUUUCUCUCAUACUUUAAUGUAUCUUUAAUAAUGGCACUUUCACAGUCUAUUUUGUGUUAGUGGGGGCAAGAAAUGCACAAAGAACUAAAAAACUUUUUAUCAUAUGAGGGACAUUCUACAAAAUACCUGACCACUUUUCCUCAAAACUGUCAAGAUCAUCAUGUCCAGACAAUCAAAAACGAGGAAAUUCUAAGAAACUAGUACAGCCAAGAGGAGCCUAAGAACACACAAUGACUAAACAUAAUGUAGUAUCCUGGCUGGAUGCCUGGAACAGGACACCAGGUUCAAACCAAGGAACUCUGAAUAAAAUACAGAUAAACAAAAACCCAUUGUGGAUAAUAUAAAUAAACAGGAAAAACAACUGUUCUUGAACAAUCUAAAAACUUACCAGAAUUAAUUUACAUACAAAUCAUUAGAAGUAUGGCCAGUAAAACCACUAUUUGACUACAUUUUGUUAGCUCUUCAAUUUAUAUAUAUUUACAUAUAUACUAUAUAUAUAUACAUAUAUACUACAUAUAUAUUUACAUAUAUACUACAUAUAUAAUUUUUUUUUGAGACGGAGUCUUGCUCUGUCACCC